Apus apus (common swift) is the source of this 1810-nucleotide long non-coding RNA. RefSeq lists it as uncharacterized. NCBI's taxonomy places the organism in Eukaryota, Metazoa, Chordata, Aves, Apodiformes, Apodidae. The record is from RefSeq and is a predicted model, not a curated record. The transcript has 2 exons.
GCCCCUCGGCCCGCCGUGGCGCAGCCGGGGGCUGAGGGGACGCACAAAAUGGCGGCGGCCCCUCAGGACCGGCCUCCCGCGGCCCCCGGGGGGCUGAGGGGCGCCGUGUGGCGGGCUCGCCGCCUUCCUGCACCCCGUGCCGCCGUCGCAGCGGGGUGUUGCGGGCGGGUGCGGGCGCUGGGGCGGGCGCUGCCCUGCCUCUGGGCGCCUGCUGGCCAUCGGGGGUGUAUCCCGCCCCAGCCGGCCGGGAGCUGGUGGUUGGGUUGCCCUGCAAGGCAAAAGGCAGGCGGAUAAACGGGCCCUUGUGAAGGGAGGUGUGAGGUUUAUCUGCACGGCAGCCGGAGCUCCUGGCGCGCCAGCGGGCCGCGUGUUGAUGGAAGCGCGGUGGUACAAGAGAUUUACUCAAUCUCGGCUCUUCACACGUGUGCUGAGUCAGGGAAAGGCAGCGUGUGCUCGCGGGUUCUUCCUGUGUUCCCUCUCUGUCCAGCUGGGUUGCAGAGAAAGCUCAAAACCUUUAAUUACAUCCACAAACCAAGCACAUUACGUUGAGACAAAGCUAUCUGGCAGUUUGGGAAUAGUGGGUUUGGCUCUAAAACUCGCCCUUGGAGGAAGCAGUGUUCCCUCUGGUCGGCUGGGGAGCUUGGUGUUCAUCACUGUAUCCUUGGAGAGCUCAGAACGCAGACGUGUCUCCUGACAUCUCAUACUUGUGGUUUUCUGGGGUAAUAACUACAGCUUCCCCUUUCUGGCUGGUUUUUUUGACUCCGAAGGAGGUAGUAAUUGAUAGGAAUUGGUCAAAAUAACCAAAACAAUAGCAAGAAGAGUUCCUUUCACUCGGGUAUUAACAGACUCAGGUUGAUGGUGCUUACCUGGGGACCUCACAGGUUUGGAGGUUUGACCUUUUUAUGCAACUCAGACACAUUCUGCUGUAGUAUUUUUCCUCAGUUACAGUUACUGUAAUCAUGUCAUGCAGGCUGGGCUUUUUGUUUUAAUUAUUAUUAUUUUUUUUUUCCAUAGGAUUAUUUAAAAAGUAUUUAAGUAACAUUGAAAUGCAUUGUAUUUUGGUGUUUUAAAUAAUGACCUGUGCUGGUUUCUAGCCCAGAUCUGCUGUUGAAAUGUGCAUUCAGUUCUGGGUUUUGCUCUGGUGUGUGAUCACUCAGUAUUUAGAAUAUUAAAUUUAAACUGUGUUGUGAGGUCUUCAAGAGAGUGGAUGUACAAGUGAGGUAAUUUUUUUUUUCCCUGUUGGGAAAGCACUCUGCAAGGACAAGAAGUAUCUUUAAUUGCAUUUUUCUUUUUCUUGAUUUAACAAAAAACCCCAACAAACAAAAACCAAACAACUAGCAGAAGAAUCACCCUGGCGUGGAGGAUGCAAGGGCUGAUACCUUCUCCAGCUUCCACAACAACUGAGGAAACUGAGUGAUGUUUAUCCGAGGGUGGGGUUCCAGGCAGUUAAAAAGUUGCUGCUUCCUGCUGGCUUCCUUGUUCUUCCAUUUCCCCAGGAUCUUGCAGUUUGGUUUUGGGGCUGAGCUCAGUGGAACCUCAACUGUGCUCGUGUUGGUCCUUACCAAACAAGGAGCUCUUCUUCUCUCUGUGAAAUGGGAAGAACACUGAAACAUUUCUUUUUCAUCUGUCACAUUUAAAGGUUGUACCUGCAAAGUGAAAAGAGGCCAGAAAUCCCUGCAGCUGAUCAUCCGUGGAGGUGCAGAAAUGCCCUGGUUUUCCUCUGAAGAAUUACUUGCUUAAAUACUUCUGCCAAUUGUUUUUUUCUUUGCUAUUUGUCUGUAUAUAAACUUGAUGCACUGAACCCCAUGAA